Molecule: long non-coding RNA, 1486 nt
Filed under: Physcomitrium patens
Lineage: Eukaryota; Viridiplantae; Streptophyta; Bryopsida; Funariales; Funariaceae
Description: long non-coding RNA (PPAT_LNC011341)
Source: RNAcentral
UUAAAAUAAAAUUUACAAGAAAUUGACAACAGAACAACUCAAAAUAUUUGAGAUUUUGAAUGAUUAAGACUGAAAGUUGAUUAACCAUUUUUAUUAACUAGUAAUUUUCACAUCUAAAUAUUGAAGCUUAGUACAAGUGUACUAGAAGAUUGAAUAUAAAUGAAUGUUGCUUUACCACUUGAAAUUAAUUUAAGAAAAAACUUCAAAAUCAUACUAAAAAAAUAUAUAUCUAUAUCCUAUGUGAACAAUACGUUUUUUAAAAGGAAAAAAAUAGAUGAGAGAUUUUUUGUCAUCCAUUUGAAUAUUAUCUAUGGAUGUGCAUAGUUCUAGUAGAAAAUAAGAACUUGUUGUUAGCAACCAAUUUUACAUAUAUAUUUUGUGAUAUGUAAAAUUUCAAAGCUACCAAGUUGCCACAUUUAUAAUUUAGAUCUGAUAAGUAUAAUUUGAUUAAUUCCUUUUUGGAAUUAUAUAUAUAUAUAUAUAUUUCACAAGUGUAUGAUACAAGAUGUUCUUUUAAUGAUCCAACACAUGGUUCAAUUCAAGUGGCAAAACCAACAGAUUUUCUUAAUAUUUUUAAUACUAAUUCUUUUUUCUAAAUAUCUUAAUAUAAUUUCUUAAAUAAUGCUUAAUUGUAACAAAAUAAAGUCUCACCUUUUCAAAAACAGUCGUAUUCCUUUAUAAAGCCCAAUGUUGCACAACUAAUGACAUAAAAGAAUUCUAUUAAGUUUUAAAUAAAGAUUAUAUUUUUGAAAUAAAUAAAUUUAUGAAAGAUUAUAUGUAAUUAUAAAAAAAGACUGAUUUUAAGAAAAACCAAACUUAGAGAAUUUUCUUAAGACGCACGACCUAGAAAUUUUUUUGUUAGAAAUUUGAACCACUUCAAGCACAACUACUAAUCUUUAAAAACAUCAAAAAAUUGCGUUUUUUUUUUAAAAUUGAAGGGAGGGAUGGAUGGAUGGAUGGAUGGAAGGGGUGGCAAGGAUGCUGCCAAGCUCCUCCGCUAAGCCCCAACGUCAGAGACGAAGAGAAUAUGCAGGUAGCGCCGUGGCCCACAAGAAGCCCCGAUGAUGCGAGAGAGAGUGAGAGAGAGCGAGAGAGUGAGAGAGAGAUCGAGGGAGAGACAGACCGAGAGCAUCCAGGAAAAGGGGUUGUUUGCCUCCCAUCCCAUUCCCAGUGGCGGAAGGGAAAGGGCAGAGGAGGCGCUGGCUCUUGUUUGAAUCCACUAUUCAGAGAGAUUGCGCACAGUUUCGAAGCCCACGCACAGCAACUCCCUCCUUCCCUUCCCUGCCAGUGGAUUCAGUCGGAAGCGGUCUGUACCAAUUAGCUUCAGGGCUCUCUACAGGAGCGAACCCUCGGCGCCCAACAGACGCAACCCUCACCCACCAAACGCCAAUGAAACCGUCGGACGCUCUUCGACGCUGGAGGCUGGCUGGUCAUCCAGCGCAACGGUCAAUGGCGACGACUGAGGAGGGAAGCAAGCAGGGGGGGG